Molecule: long non-coding RNA, 2214 nt
Organism: Macaca fascicularis (crab-eating macaque)
Lineage: Eukaryota; Metazoa; Chordata; Mammalia; Primates; Cercopithecidae
Source: Ensembl
UUUUUUCUUUUUUUUUUUUUUGAGGCGGUGUCUUGCUCUGUCGCCCAGGCUGGAGUGCAAUGGCGCUAUCACAGCUCACUGCAAGCUCUGCCUCCCGGGUUCAUGCCAUUCCCCUGCCUCAGCCUCCUGAGGAGCUGAGACUAUAGGCGCCUGCCACCACACCUGGCUAAUUUUUUGUAUUUUUAGUAGAGACAGGGUUUUACCGUGUUAGCCAGGAUGGUCUUGAUCUCCUGACCUUGUGAUCCACCCGUCUCGGCCUCCCAAAGUGCUGGGAUUACAGGUGUAAGCCACCACACCCAAUCUCUGAUUUCUAAAUACUCAGUUGGAAGUACACUCACAACUAGUGGUGAGAAAGCACAGUUGCUCUAUUGCUCAAUGCCAGGGGACUGCAGUGGCCAAAUGCGUGUUAGUUGAUUUUUGUUUUUCAUGGUCCAGCCUAACAUUAGCUUAGCUAACUGCAAAGCAUCACAUGACACCUUAUCCUACAAAGUUUGCCCAGUCAGCAAUGAAGUUGCUCAGAGAUAUUCCUACCCAGUGGUAUUUCUUGACCAUUGGAAACUUUUCUGAGGGCAAAUCAACUCCAGCUGAGUGCAACUUAAACUCUCCGCAUGAUGUUUACUGGGUGUCCCCUGGUGGGGUAGAGACCUUGGAACCUCAGAGCCUUUCCAGAUAUGUGGGGCUAAGUGAGCUUACUGGGUGCCUUGUUCUUCACCUGCUCCUUUGCAGGCACUGUUUUGUGGGUACCUGUAAUUUUUUUUUUACUAUGUCAGAAGGAUGAGGGGCAAGUGGAUAGGGAAAAUGACAAAGUUGGGGAAACAAGUGAUGGACUAUAGGUAUAGAUUUUUAAAAAAGAUCAGACAAACAUGAUUUUAACUGGUAGUUAAAUUAAAGAAUGUUUUCCUGGAGGGUCACCCUUAGAAAUUAGAAAAGCCACAGUUGGUAAUCUCCUAAGGUACCAGGGAGUCUGUUGAGAGGUUCCUAAGAGUCACGUGGAAUAUCUGAACACCUUAGGACCCAAUAAUACGCUGUUUCACUAAAAAUCAGUGAAACGAACCAACAUGGAAAUGCUCCCCUUGGUGGAGCGGACAUUUGAAAGUCCCUCCAAAGCCUCUGCUAGCCUCUCCUAUUUGGUACUCACUGACUUAAAAAUUGUUCAGGCAGUGCUGUGCUGGAGCCAGCUCAAGCUGUAUUGGAGCCAACUUAUACUGGCUCUUGAAAACAUAUUGUUGUGUUUUCAGCUGGUUGACAUUAAGUUAGUAGCUUGAAAUUGGCUGGGAUGAGAGUAUUUACACCAUGGAAAUUGGUAGGUGCUAAAAAUCUGGGUUCCACUGUUUUCCAGAGCCAGUUGUUAAACAUUUGGCAGCACACCAAAGAGCUAAAACUGUCUGAGAAUCACACAGAAGGAAAAUCAAAGGAACUCUUUGGUAUCACUGUUGUGUAAAGCCUUUCUAUGUGCACAGCUAUAGAAAGAAGUCUGGCCAAAGCUUCAUUAGGAUGGUGGCACAUUAUCCAACAGAGGUGGUACAAGGCUGCAAGUGAUAACUGAUCACCCUUGUUAUACUGGGUUGGUCUUAGAACUGGAGCCUCUUGAAUUUCCUUUUUUGAUUGGUUUCAUUUUAGCCUGAAUACCUUCGUGUUCUGGAUACUACUUGAGGUUGAUAAAUCAGACCCCUUAGAUAAAUAUUUUAGGCUCUGGGAAUGACUUCCAAAUUGAAUCUGAAUGUAUCAUUUAAGUUCCCUGUUUCUCAUUCUCACCAGUUCUAAAGAUGAGUGACCUGAGAUCUGUCUCUUAGUUUGAAAUAUAAAGAGGGAAAUAUGAAGAGCUGGCCUUGAGAUAAACUGUAUAUUAAAGCUAUGCUUUCCACCUUGUCUUUGGGCUUGCAUCCAUUCUGACUAAAUUGAUCAGUUACUAUUUGCUUAUAAAUUAGCAACUGGUCAAUUCAGCUGAAACAGCUGAAUUGUUGAGUCACUAAGACUGUGUCUAUAUUGCCAUUUACCAUGAUAACCUCAAGGAAUAUGUGAAACCAAUCACACAAGGACAGAUAAGCUUUAGCUACUUGGUUCAAAAUGGUAUAUAUGACUCCCAAUGUAUAUAUUAUUGGUUUCCAAAUGCUGGCCACAUGAAUCACCUGGGAAUCUUUGUAAGUUGGACUUAUCCCAGGACAUUAUGAAUCAAAGGUCCAGAGUGAGUGGCAAGAAUUGUAUUUUGAAGAG